Molecule: ribosomal RNA, 793 nt
Filed under: uncultured archaeon
Lineage: Archaea
Description: bacterial SSU rRNA
Rfam family: Archaeal small subunit ribosomal RNA
Source: RNAcentral
ACGGCUCAGUAACACGUGGACAACCUACCCUUGGGACGGGGAUAAACCCGGGAAACUGGGUAUAAUACCCGAUAGUUCUGGGAAGCUGGAAUGCUUCCAGGACGAAAGCUCCGGUGCCCAAGGAUGGGUCUGCGGCCUAUCAGGUAGUAGUGGGUGUAAUGUACCUACUAGCCUACGACGGGUACGGGUUGUGAGAGCAAGAGCCCGGAGAUGGAUUCUGAGACACGAAUCCAGGCCCUUCGGGGUGCAGCAGGCGCGAAAACAUUACAAUGCUGGCAACAGCGAUAAGGGGACCUCGAGUGCCAGGAUACAAUCUUGGCUGUCGUAAUGCCUAAAGAGCAUUUCAUAGCAAGGGCCGGGCAAGACCGGUGCCAGCCGCCGCGGUAACACCGGCGGCUCGAGUGGUAACCGCUAUUAUUGGGUCUAAAGGGUCUGUAGCCGGCCGGAUAAGUCUUUUGGGAAAUCCAGCUGCUCAACAGUUGGGCUUUCAGAAGAUACUGUUCGGCUCGAGACCGGGAGAGGUGAGAGGUACUUCAGGGGUAGGGGUGAAAUCUUGUAAUCCUUGAAGGACCACCAGUGGCGAAGGCGUCUCACCAGAACGGAUCUGACGGCAAGGGACGAAAGCUAGGGGCACGAACCGGAUUAGAUACCCGGGUAGUCCUAGCCGUAAACGAUACUCGCUAGGUGUCAGCCACGGUGCGACCGUGGUUGGUGCCGUAGGGAAGCCGUGAAGCGAGCCACCUGGGAAGUACGGCCGCAAGGCAGAAACUUAAAGGAAUUGGCGGGGGAGCAC